This 259-nucleotide ribosomal RNA is filed under the name uncultured prokaryote. Its description in RNAcentral is "partial 16S ribosomal RNA". It matches the Rfam family "Bacterial small subunit ribosomal RNA", at positions 524 to 782 of the family's 1533-position model. The record is from RNAcentral.
UACGUAGGUGGCAAGCGUUGUCCGGAUUUAUUGGGCGUAAAGCGAGCGCAGGUGGUUUCUUAAGUCUGAUGUGAAAGCCCACGGCUCAACCGUGGAAGGUCAUUGGAAACUGGGGAACUUGAAUGCAGAAGAGGAGAGUGGAAUUCCAUGUGUAGCGGUGAAAUGCGUAGAUAUAUGGAGGAACACCAGUGGCGAAGGCGACUCUCUGGUCUGUUAUUGACACUGAGGCUCGAAAGCGUGGGGAGCAAACAGGAUUAGA